This 253-nucleotide ribosomal RNA is filed under the name uncultured bacterium. RNAcentral describes it as "partial 16S ribosomal RNA". It matches the Rfam family "Bacterial small subunit ribosomal RNA", at positions 524 to 776 of the family's 1533-position model. The record is from RNAcentral.
UACGGAGGGUGCAAGCGUUAUCCGGAUUUACUGGGUUUAAAGGGUGCGUAGGUGGGUAGAUAAGUCAGCGGUGAAAUCUCCAGGCUUAACUUGGAAACUGCCAUUGGUACUAUCUGUCUUGAAUAUCCUGGAGGUGAGCGGAAUAUGUCAUGUAGCGGUGAAAUGCUUAGAUAUGACAUAAAACACCCAUUGCGAAGGCAGCUCACUACGGGAUUAUUGACACUGAGGCACGAAAGCGUGGGGAUCAAACAGG